GUGCGAGUGUGCCGUCUGGUAAGGUGGGUAAUUUAGUUUGUUUGAGGAAUGUGUGAAUGCGGUCCGUUAGGUUGGAGGUGUUUUGUCUGUGCUGUGGGAAAUGGUUGUAUAGAUCGGAGACAAAUUGUUAUGGGCAAAUGCAAAUAUUACAAGUUUUAGAAUUAAAUGUUGUAUUUCUUAAACUGUGUACUUUGUCUUUAAGAGAUAUUGCAAACUGACAAGGUGUUAGAAAUGGAAC
Non-coding RNA from Pelobates cultripes (western spadefoot toad), 238 nucleotides. NCBI's taxonomy places the organism in Eukaryota, Metazoa, Chordata, Amphibia, Anura, Pelobatidae. The record is from the annotation of a GenBank genome assembly.